This 256-nucleotide ribosomal RNA is filed under the name uncultured prokaryote. Its description in RNAcentral is "partial 16S ribosomal RNA". It matches the Rfam family "Bacterial small subunit ribosomal RNA", at positions 522 to 777 of the family's 1533-position model. The record is from RNAcentral.
AAUACGGGGGGGGCAAGCGUUGUUCGGAAUUACUGGGCGUAAAGGGCUCGUAGGUGGCCAACUAAGUCAGACGUGAAAUCCCCAGGCUCAACCUGGGAACUGCGUCUGAUACUGGAUGGCUUGAAUCCGGGAGAGGGAUGCAGAAUUCCAGGUGUAGCGGUGAAAUGCGUAGAUAUCUGGAGGAAUACCGGUGGCGAAGGCGGCAUCCUGGACCGGCAUUGACACUGAGGAGCGAAAGCCAGGGGAGCAAACGGGA